UCCGUAGGUGAACCUGCGGAAGGAUCAUUAACCAGCCGUGAAGGUCGCCCUGGAAAGGGAAUGACCUCUCACCCGGCCAUCCUUGCUUAUUUUAAACCCGUUGCUUUGGUGGGCCCGCUGCAAGGCCGCCGGGGAACUUGGCCCAAGGGUUCCUGGGCCCGUGUCCAUCAAAGUCCUAACCGAACUCUGUAAACCCUAAGUUGUCUGAGUGUGAAAGCAUAACCUUUUAAAACUUUCAGCAACGGAUCUCUUGGCUCUCGCAUCGAUGAAGAACGCAGCGAAAUGCGAUAAGUAAUGUGAAUUGCAGAAUUCAGUGAAUCAUCGAAUCUUUGAACGCACCUUGCGCCCUCUGGUAUUCCGAGGAGCAUGCCUGUUUGAGUGUCAUUUAAUUCUCAAUCCCUACAAUCUUGUAUUGUUUAGUGGAUUGGAUGUGGGGGUCCUUGUGGGUCUAUCUAUUAGAUCUGCUCCCCUAAAAAUCAUUAGCUGGAAUGCCUUUGCAAAACCAACUAUCAGUAUGAUAAUUAUCUACUCUGAUGUUGUUGUUAAAGGGGAUCUGCUUUCAAAUUGUCGUUUAGACACUAUGAAUCAAUUUGACCUCAAAUCAGGUAGGACUACCCGUUGAACUUAAGCAUAUCAAUAAGCGGAGGA
Molecule: ribosomal RNA, 648 nt
Filed under: uncultured fungus
Lineage: Eukaryota; Fungi
Description: eukaryotic LSU rRNA
Rfam family: 5.8S ribosomal RNA (bases 231-384)
Source: RNAcentral